GAUGAACGCUGGCGGCGUGCCUAAUACAUGCAAGUCGAGCGAACGGACGAGAAGCUUGCUUCUCUGAUGUUAGCGGCGGACGGGUGAGUAACACGUGGAUAACCUACCUAUAAGACUGGGAUAACUUCGGGAAACCGGAGCUAAUACCGGAUAAUAUUUUGAACCGCAUGGUUCAAAAGUGAAAGACGGUCUUGCUGUCACUUAUAGAUGGAUCCGCGCUGCAUUAGCUAGUUGGUAAGGUAACGGCUUACCAAGGCAACGAUGCAUAGCCGACCUGAGAGGGUGAUCGGCCACACUGGAACUGAGACACGGUCCAGACUCCUACGGGAGGCGGCAGUAGGGAAUCUUCCGCAACGGGCGAAAGCCUGACGGAGCAACGCCGCGUGAGUGAUGAAGGUCUUCGGAUCGUAAAACUCUGUUAUUAGGGAAGAACAUAUGUGUAAGUAACUGUGCACAUCUUGACGGUACCUAAUCAGAAAGCCACGGCUAACUACGUG
RNAcentral lists this ribosomal RNA (497 nucleotides) under uncultured bacterium. RNAcentral's name for it is "partial 16S ribosomal RNA". It matches the Rfam family "Bacterial small subunit ribosomal RNA", at positions 28 to 507 of the family's 1533-position model. The record is from RNAcentral.